AGUGAACGCUGGCGGUAGGCCUAACACAUGCAAGUCGAACGGCAGCACAGGAGAGCUUGCUCUCUAGGUGGCGAGUGGCGGACGGGUGAGGAAUACAUCGGAAUCUGCCCAGUCGUGGGGGAUAACGUAGGGAAACUUACGCUAAUACCGCAUACGACCUUCGGGUGAAAGAGGGGGAUCGCAAGACCUCUCGCGAUUGGAUGAGCCGAUGUCGGAUUAGCUAGUUAGCGGGGUAAUGGCCCACCAGGGCGACGAUCCGUAGCUGGUCUGAGAGGAUGAUCAGCCACACUGGAACUGAGACACGGUCCAGACUCCUACGGGAGGCAGCAGUGGGGAAUAUUGGACAAUGGGCGCAAGCCUGAUCCAGCCAUACCGCGUGGGUGAAGAAGGCCUUCGGGUUGUAAAGCCCUUUUGUUGGGAAAGAAAUCUUUCAGGCUAAUACCCUGGGAGGAUGACGGUACCCAAAGAAUAAGCACCGGCUAACUUCGUG
This 490-nucleotide ribosomal RNA is filed under the name uncultured bacterium. Its description in RNAcentral is "partial 16S ribosomal RNA". It matches the Rfam family "Bacterial small subunit ribosomal RNA", at positions 29 to 507 of the family's 1533-position model. The record is from RNAcentral.